Long non-coding RNA from Triticum aestivum (bread wheat), 539 nucleotides. RefSeq lists it as uncharacterized. Lineage: Eukaryota; Viridiplantae; Streptophyta; Magnoliopsida; Poales; Poaceae. The record is from RefSeq and is a predicted model, not a curated record. The transcript is spliced from 3 exons.
AGACACCGGACACGACACGAGAGACCUUCCUUCCCUCAAAAAAGAAAAAAAGGACACGAGAGACCUUCCUUCCUCCUUUGUUCCUCUUACCAACGACCGGCUGUGCUAGGGUUCCUGAUCCCCCCGACGAAUUCUCCAGCUCUGCUACACCACCCCGCUCCACAUCCCUCCACCAGAAUUAGGAUGCCUCGAGUCGGAGACCCAGAAGCAUCCUCGUUCUUAAGGCUCUUGGCGGAGUUCGGUUACCUUUCCUCCAUCAUCCUGGAACGAUGGAUUAAUUUGAAGAAUGUGUCUAUCGGGCGGCCUUUCUUAAUAUACAACACUGUUUACAAGGCACCCCAACCCGAUGGGUGCCAUGUUGAGUGGUGAAGGGAUUCUGUGAAAAGAAACAACCCUCGGAACUGUAGUUUUGUGAAAAAUUAUACCAAUGAGAGUGAGUAAUUCUGUAAAACACAUGUUUAAAAGUGUGCUUUUAUGAGACGUUAUUUCAAAUUAAGAUCUGCUUUCUGUUAUGUCAAUCAAAGUGUCUCCUUGUGAAA